Molecule: ribosomal RNA, 207 nt
Filed under: uncultured bacterium
Lineage: Bacteria
Description: partial 16S ribosomal RNA
Rfam family: Bacterial small subunit ribosomal RNA
Source: RNAcentral
UGUGUAGGUGGAAUUGCAAGUCAGUGGUGAAAUCCUGCGGCUUAACCGUAGAACUGCCAUUGAUACUGCUUUUCUUGAGUACUGGAGAGGCUACUAGAAUUCGUGGUGUAGCGGUGAAAUGCGUAGAUAUCACGAGGAAUACCAGAGGCGUAGGCGGGUAGCUGGACAGAUACUGACACUGAGGCACGAAAGCGUGGGGAGCAAGCA